UACGAAGGGGGCUAGCGUUGUUCGGAAUCACUGGGCGUAAAGCGCACGUAGGCGGACUUUCAAGUCAGGGGUGAAAUCCCGGGGCUCAACCCCGGAACUGCCCUUGAAACUGCAGUGCUAGAAUUCUGGAGAGGCGAGUGGAAUUCCGAGUGUAGAGGUGAAAUGCGCAGAUAUCAGGAGGAACACCAAUUGCGAAGGCAGCUCGCUGGGACGUUACUGACGCUGAGACGCGAAAGCGUGGGGAGCAAACAGG
RNAcentral lists this ribosomal RNA (253 nucleotides) under uncultured bacterium. RNAcentral's name for it is "partial 16S ribosomal RNA". It matches the Rfam family "Bacterial small subunit ribosomal RNA", at positions 524 to 776 of the family's 1533-position model. The record is from RNAcentral.